GACGAACGCUGGCGGCGUGCUUAAUACAUGCAAGUCGAACGGAAAGGUCCUGCUUUUGCGCGUUGCUCGAUUGGCGAACGCGUGAGUAACACGUGAGUAACCUGUCCUUGUCUUUGGGAUAAAUUCAGGAAACUGGGGCUAAUAUCGGAUAGGAUAUCUUGCUCCACGGGGGGGGUUGGUAAAAUUCGGCGGUUGGGGAUGGACUCGCGGCUUAUCAGCUUGUUGGUGGGGUAGUGGCUUACCAGGGCUUUGACGGGUAGCCGGCCUGGGAGGGUGACCGGCCACAUUGGGACUGAGGUACGGCCCAGACUCCUACGGGAGGCAGCAGUGGGGAAUAUUGCACAGUGGGCGGAAGCCUGAUGCAGCAACGCCGCGUGCGGGAUGACCGCUUUCGGGUUGUAAACAGCUUUCGCCUGUGACGAAGCGUGAGUGACGGUAAUGGGUAAAGAAGCACCGGCUAACUACGUG
RNAcentral lists this ribosomal RNA (468 nucleotides) under uncultured bacterium. Its description in RNAcentral is "partial 16S ribosomal RNA". It matches the Rfam family "Bacterial small subunit ribosomal RNA", at positions 28 to 507 of the family's 1533-position model. The record is from RNAcentral.